AACGAACGCUGGCGGCAUGCCUAACACAUGCAAGUCGAACGAGACCUUCGGGUCUAGUGGCGCACGGGUGCGUAACGCGUGGGGACCGUGCCUUUAGGUUCGGAAUAACUCAGAGAAAUUUGAGCUAAUACCGGAUAAUGUCUUCGGACCAAAGAUUUAUCGCCUUUAGAUGGGCCCGCGUAAGAUUAGCUAGUUGGUGGGGUAAAGGCCUACCAAGGCGACGAUCUUUAGCUGGUCUGAGAGGAUGAUCAGCCACACUGGGACUGAGACACGGCCCAGACUCCUACGGGAGGCAGCAGUGGGGAAUAUUGGACAAUGGGCGAAAGCCUGAUCCAGCAAUGCCGCGUGAGUGAUGAAGGGCCUUAGGGGUUGUAAAGCUCUUUUACCCGAGAUGAUAAUGACAGUAUCGGGAGAAUAAGCUCCGGCCAACUCCGUGCCAGCAGCCGCGGUAAU
Molecule: ribosomal RNA, 453 nt
Filed under: uncultured bacterium
Lineage: Bacteria
Description: bacterial SSU rRNA
Rfam family: Bacterial small subunit ribosomal RNA
Source: RNAcentral